Morus notabilis is the source of this 945-nucleotide RNA transcript. RefSeq lists it as uncharacterized. The record is from RefSeq and is a predicted model, not a curated record. The transcript is spliced from 3 exons. Lineage: Eukaryota; Viridiplantae; Streptophyta; Magnoliopsida; Rosales; Moraceae.
UUUGAUUUAGCUUUCCCCUCUUCCCAUCUUCCACCACUCCGCCGAAUCCCAUAUGAAUUGAACAUAAGAAAAAAAAAAACCUCAUUCGUCUCUUCCUCCAAUCUGUCGAAUCCCAUUCGAACAAGGAAAAAAAAAAAACAUUGACGCAUCAUGUUUUUUUUAGAGAGAGAACGAGAGAAAGAACAGUAGAGAGAAAAAUGGGGUUGAGGCCGGCGGGCCGACGCGUUGCCGGUUCGUUUGCUGCCGUUCGUUGUCGGAGGGCCGUCGCCGGCCGAUCUUCAUGAAUAUGGGGUUUGUGCCGCCAGGGGAGGGGGUUUUGGCUGGGACCGGAGAUCGUGAGAGUUGCUGCAAUGGAGGACCUCAUCAUGGUCGACUUAUGUCCAGAGCUCAAGGGGGAAGAGCUGCCGUCAUGCGAGGCGGAUGUGGGAUGCUCAGAACUCCCCCGGGAACGAAAUGGGUUGGCAAGGGGCGGGAUUGUUUCCUUGGGCGUCAGAGUCUUUGCAAAGAUUUUGGGAGAAAAAACCUGCAGAUGUGGUAUGAUUUUCGAAGAGCAACCAGGAUUGCAAGUGGUCAAAGAAUGUUGUUCCCUCGCUUCAAUAAUUAACAAUGCCGAUAAAUUGGUUUCACUUUAUUACCUCCCAGACUAUUAAGCACCGGCUGAGUCAGUUACUCUGCGAUUCUCGAAGAAUGAAUGCUCAUGUUUUUAAGCUUCUGCUUCAAGGGUCCCCAACAGAGGUUUGCGUGAAGGAUUGUUCUUGGCUAACAGAGGAAGAGUUCACAAAAUGUUUGCAGAACUUUGAUCCGAGCAACUUAAUGGUGUUAUUUUUCAGCCCCUGCACUUAGAUCUCCCAACCUCACCAAGUGCUCCCUUCUCACCUCCUCGAGUAUUGACACCUUAGCUAACUCAUUGGGUUUGAUCCUGAGAGCUGUAUCUUGAUCUACACU